AACGAACGCUGGCGGCAGGCCUAACACAUGCAAGUCGAGCGAGAUCUUCGGGUCUAGCGGCGGACGGGUGAGUAACGCGUGGGAAUAUGCCUCUUGGUACGGAAUAGCCUCGGGAAACUGGGAGUAAUACCGUAUGUGCCCUUUGGGGGAAAGAUUUAUCGCCAAGAGAUUAGCCCGCGUUGGAUUAGGUAGUUGGUGGGGUAAUGGCCUACCAAGCCGACGAUCCAUAGCUGGUUUGAGAGGAUGAUCAGCCACAUUGGGACUGAGACACGGCCCAGACUCCUACGGGAGGCAGCAGUGGGGAAUCUUAGACAAUGGGGGCAACCCUGAUCUAGCCAUGCCGCGUGAGUGAUGAAGGCCUUAGGGUUGUAAAGCUCUUUCAGCUGGGAAGAUAAUGACGGUACCAGCAGAAGAAGCCCCGGCUAACUCCGUGCCAGCAGCCGCGGUAAUACGGAGGGGGCUAGCGUUGUUCGGAAUUACUGGGCGUAAAGCGCACGUAGGCGGACCAGAAAGUUGGGGGUGAAAUCCCGGGGCUCAACCCCGGAACUGCCUUCAAAACUAUUGGUCUGGAGUUCGAGAGAGGUGAGUGGAAUUCCGAGUGUAGAGGUGAAAUUCGUAGAUAUUCGGAGGAACACCAGUGGCGAAGGCGGCUCACUGGCUCGAUACUGACGCUGAGGUGCGAAAGCGUGGGGAGCAAACAGG
RNAcentral lists this ribosomal RNA (702 nucleotides) under uncultured Paracoccus sp. Its description in RNAcentral is "bacterial SSU rRNA". It matches the Rfam family "Bacterial small subunit ribosomal RNA", at positions 28 to 776 of the family's 1533-position model. Lineage: Bacteria; Pseudomonadati; Pseudomonadota; Alphaproteobacteria; Rhodobacterales; Paracoccaceae. The record is from RNAcentral.